RNAcentral lists this ribosomal RNA (253 nucleotides) under uncultured bacterium. RNAcentral's name for it is "partial 16S ribosomal RNA". It matches the Rfam family "Bacterial small subunit ribosomal RNA", at positions 524 to 776 of the family's 1533-position model. The record is from RNAcentral.
UACAGAGGGUGCGAGCGUUAAUCGGAAUUACUGGGCGUAAAGCGUGCGCAGGCGGUUUUGUAAGUCUGUCGUGAAAUCCCCGGGCUUAACCUGGGAAUUGCGAUGGAGACUGCAAGGCUAGAAUCUGGCAGAGGGGGGUAGAAUUCCACGUGUAGCAGUGAAAUGCGUAGAGAUGUGGAGGAACACCGAUGGCGAAGGCAGCCCCCUGGGUCAAGAUUGACGCUCAUGCACGAAAGCGUGGGGAGCAAACAGG